GACGAACGCUGGCGGCGUGCUUAACACAUGCAAGUCGAACGGCAAGGCCCUGCUUUUUUGGGGUGCUCGAGUGGCGAACGGUUGAGUAACACGUGAGUAACCUGCCCUUGACUUUGGGUUAACUUCAGGAAACUGGGGCUAAUACCGGAUAGGCGCUCCUGCUGCAUGGUUGGGGUUGGUAUGUUUCCGCGGCUGGGGAUGGACUCGCGGCUUAUCAGCUUGUUGGUGGAGUGGUGGCUUACCAAGGCUUUGGCGGGUAGCCGGCAUGAGAGGGUGACCGGCGAGGUUGGGACUGAGGUUGGGCCCAGACUCCGUCGGGAGGGAGCAGGAGGGAAGAUUGCCCACUGGGCGGACACCCGACGCCGCAACGCCGCGUGCGGGAUGACGGCCUUCGGGUUGUAACCCGCCUUCGCCUGUGACGAAGCGUGAGUGACGGCAAUGGGUAACGAGACACCGGAUAACUACGUG
This 468-nucleotide ribosomal RNA is filed under the name uncultured bacterium. RNAcentral describes it as "partial 16S ribosomal RNA". It matches the Rfam family "Bacterial small subunit ribosomal RNA", at positions 28 to 507 of the family's 1533-position model. The record is from RNAcentral.